Molecule: long non-coding RNA, 487 nt
Filed under: Cyanistes caeruleus (blue tit)
Lineage: Eukaryota; Metazoa; Chordata; Aves; Passeriformes; Paridae
Description: lncRNA (ENSCCEG00000013645.1)
Source: RNAcentral
CCAUCACAGCACUGAUUUAUCCUUUUUUGAUCUAAUCCUGGUUUUUGUAGGCUGAGAAAAGAAGAAAUAUUCAUUCUCGCUCCACAGAACUAGAUUAAAACCUUGUCAUUACCACCUGUGAGAGGACAGAACCCCAGUUGUUCUGAGACUACAAGAAUUUCCAUCAUUUCACUUGGAAAAAAUUCUGAUAGCUGGGCAAAACUGCCUUAGAAAAAGACGAAGAAACUCAGAGAACAAACAGAAAUAUUGGAUGGUGGAUGAGGUGAACCUAAAUUUUACAAUGAAGGGAGAGGUUAUCAAAGUUUCACUCUCACAGACUGUUUUCUGCUAAGGGGUUGAAGGCAAGUGGUUGUGGCAGGUCAGGUUAUCACGUUGUGCUAUAGUUAGAACUCUGGACUGGUUCUGUGCUGUUGUUUGUUGAGAUGACUAAGUUGUCAUUUUUAAUUAGCUUUAUGCUCCUCUCAAAGGCUAAUUACUUUACUUUUUA